Molecule: long non-coding RNA, 532 nt
Organism: Solanum pennellii
Lineage: Eukaryota; Viridiplantae; Streptophyta; Magnoliopsida; Solanales; Solanaceae
Exons: 3
Source: RefSeq, a predicted model, not a curated record
ACUUUUAUCACCCAAAUUUUAGUCCAUCACCCACAUAGAAAACAUCGAAAAGAUCUCUCCUCUAUCCAUCAAUUCAUGUUCUUCAUACACAUAGAAAACAUCAAAAAGAUUCAUCCGCAGAAAGCAAAUUUUUGAGUGGUCAAAAAUCAAGAAAUCGAGCAUGUUACUUCUUGUCUGAAGUUCCUGUCCCCCAAAAUGCCAGCCAAUAAAGACCAAUAUCAUGUUGUCAUGUGCUUUAUAAGAUCAUCUCAAAAGCUGAUAUGUUCAAGACUGAAAGAAGUAUUUGGAUGCUUGGAAGCUGAGAAUGAAGCCGCAUUUGUACUUCAAAAUAUCACAUAUCCAUGAAGAAUAUAAUUCUUACCUCAAAAUACUUUAUUUUACUGUAUUGUAUUAUAUCAAGAAAAUUGUACACUUCUUAUUGAUUUUUUUUUUAAAAUACAUGCAAUUUUAUAGAGUUUAUCUUUAAAUGUUUAUUAUUUUAUCAACAGUUUAUAUUAUUCUAAUAAAUCAUAUAAAUUAUUGAAUUACUAAA